GUUAGGAAUAUUGGACAAUGGGCGAAAGCCUGAUCCAGCCAUGCCGCGUGAACGAUGAAGGCCUUCGGGUUGUAAAGUUCUUUAGCCGAUGAUUAUAAUGACUGUAGUCGGAAAAUAAGCCCCGGCUAACUUCGUGCCAGCAGCCGCGGUAAUACGAAGGGGGCGAGCGUUAUUCGGAAUCACUGGGCGUAAGGCGUGCGUAGGCGGUUUUGUAAGUUAGGAGUGAAAGCCCAGGGCUCAACCUUGGAAUUGCUCUUAAAACUGCAAGGCUCGAAUCUCGGAGAGGAUAGCGGAAUUUCCAGUGUAGCAGUGAAAUGCGUAGAUAUUGGAAGGAACACCAGUGGCGUAAGCGGCUAUCUGGACGAGUAUUGACGCUGAGGCACGAAAGCGUGGGGAUCAAACAGGAUUAGAAACCCUGGUAGUCC
This 425-nucleotide ribosomal RNA is filed under the name uncultured bacterium. RNAcentral describes it as "partial 16S ribosomal RNA". It matches the Rfam family "Bacterial small subunit ribosomal RNA", at positions 354 to 796 of the family's 1533-position model. The record is from RNAcentral.